Molecule: RNA transcript, 9872 nt
Organism: Aedes albopictus (Asian tiger mosquito)
Lineage: Eukaryota; Metazoa; Arthropoda; Insecta; Diptera; Culicidae
Exons: 2
Source: RefSeq, a predicted model, not a curated record
CCGUGCCAUGCCCUAAUACCGUGUGCCUCCUAAUACCGUGUAUUUGACAAAAAACUCAAAUAUUUUACUAAGUGUAUUAUUUUUUUAACUAAGUAACUAAUUCAAUCAUUAGCAUAUUAAACCUUCUUAAGUUAGGCGUAAUAAAUUUAGCACAUAUUUACAAAAACAAGCAAUUAAAAAUAUUCACAAAAUGUGAGUGCGAAGUACCAAUACACGGUAUUAGGGCAUGGUUCCUUUUGUGUUCCAAAUACCGUGUUUCGACUAAAACUGCAAGCUGAAAAUAUUAUUGAUACUUUUUUACUUUAUGAAUCAAUUGUACAAACCUCUAGGCAACGUUUAACGCACAGAUUCUUUUAAGUAUGAACUUAGUAUGAUUGAUAUAGUGAUGAUUCAAAGGACCACCAAUGUACGCGGGUCACAUACACGGUAUUAGGCACAAUGCUAUUGUUGCCGCUGGCCACAUUGCUACACGCCGUCAGAUUUCUUGUGCUGUGUCAGUUAAUCUGUAAAAACGAUAUAACCGCGGGACUACAGAUUUUGACAUACAUAUGAAGAGGCAGAAGAAGAGAAAACUAACGCGACCAUGAGAUAGCAAAUCAUGGACAGAAAGUGCUCGUAUUAUAACUAAUUUGUUAAAGCCUAAUAAUUUGAUAAAAUAUUCCUAAUCAGUUGAAAUAACCCAUUGGCAUGCAGUGAGUAACAAAUCUGCAGAAUAUCUAUAGUUUCAAUGCUAACUCAUGAAUUGUUUACAGUUAUCUAAUUGAAUAAAAGAUCGUGUACAGAACAUGAUCUGUGAAGUACUGAACAGAAAGUUAGAAUCCUACAAAAGUGAGGUUAAAACAUACAUAUCUUAAAUACUAGCGAAAUCAUCAUUUAAUCAUUAUUUACAGUUAAAUUAGAUUAGCCUAAUCAUUUGUUGCGUCGGGAACACGAGAAUGAAAUUUUCCUAAGCAAAACACCGAACGUGUAAGUUAUUAUUAAGUGUAUAUUAAAAUAUCCUAAUUGAUGAAUAUAUUUACAUGUUUGCAGUUUAAAGCUGCAUAACACCAAUACAACAUUUGUGUGUAUGAUAUGUGCUGCUGACAACCCGGUGCCGACAGGCGUUCUCAACUUGUUCUCCGCCAACAAACUUUAAAACGUUCGUGGCGAAUAUGGGUGCUGAUACAAACACCAUACAAACAUCGUACAAUGUUAGAACGGGAGACGGCGAAAACUACACGCGCCCCGAAAAACACGAUGACCAGUACCAUUUGAAAACGGGAGACUGCGAUGAUUACACGCGCCCCGAGGAAUACGAUGACCACAUACAUUAUAAUCCGUGUAUGAUGGUCCACAAUACUGAUGUAGAGCGGCAGUGGAUUGGCAAUAAUUUGCCGAAGAAUCCGGCUUUGAAGCCAAGCCGUAAGCCCGCUCGCCUCACACUACGUCUGCAACAAGCAGAAGAAGAGCGCGCGAUACAACGGCGCGAAAUAGAGGCAGAAAGACGAGCUAUUGCUGCAGAGCGUAGAGCGCUGGAAGAAGAAUACAAAUUGCUGGAACAACUACUGUCUACGAAGAGCGAAAACAACCACUACCGUGUAUGCCGGCGCUCAAGACAGGAACGCUCACAUAUAAGGUUCGAAAACACUCCGAAGGAUGACACUGAUAAAGGCACCUUCAGGAGUACAUCGGUUCGAAAUCGAGAUCCGUACCAACGAUUCAACCAAAACAUGUCAGAGGAAAACGAGCAAAAUGAUGGCUCUCAGACGAAGCAAAAAAUCAACGAUCAACCAAUUAUGCCGGAACUCAUUCUCGCCAGGGUAGAAUUUUCGUCUGAUCAGUUGCAGUCUAGUGGAACUCAGCAUGAGAAAACAAGCGAGAUUUCCAAAGCAAGGCCAAACUUGUGUGUAGACACGGAAGAUCUGAUGAAGGGUAUCAACGGUAACUCUAUCUCCUACGAAUACCCCAUGCUGUCCACAACAACACCCGUGUCUAUGAUCGACGCCUCCGCCGAGAGACAAGUAUAUAACUAUGCGAUUGGAUUCGGUAGGUCACACGAAAUAUACUGUUUAAUUUUCUCUCAUUCUCCAUCGGGUGAGAAUGGACCACGGUACGCUCCAAGGGCACCCAUGAGAACUGGAUUUGAUAAUGUGAUUCGACAAUAUUUUUGUUUUGUUGCAACUACUACAAGCGCGCCGGAAAGACCUACUAGCUGGCUCAUACUGAUAUGUGCUUUCGUCAGCUCAACAGCUGCAUCUUGCUAUUCAGUUAUGGAACUCCGUCCGAAACUGCAACGCUCUCGGUUGUUUUCCAUUGACAGCGUACCAUACAGGCAACUAUACAUGAAUAUGAAUGGCACUAACCCCCGUGGAAGAUUGUUGCCAUUGAGUUAUGAAUCGCUUAUUAUACCCCUGCAGUUCUGCCUGAUAGAAAUGUUGAUGUGUUUGUUGUUGUUUCAAACAGACUCUAGGGAACAAACACAGUUCGGACAAACGAAGAAAUCGGAUAAUACCCUGCGCAUGUUACGUGAUUGCAAACGUAAUGAUAAAUCUGCCGUGGAGGUGAUAGUAAUCGACGGUAAAGGCUACUCCCUGCGUAUAGACAAAUUCAUGACGACGAAACAUUUGCGUCAUGUUGGAAAAGCGACGAUGAGGAAACGUAAGGCAGCAACCAAUGUAUGCUCGAAUGGCACCUACGGUGAGAAGGGAAUCAAUUGUGGGAAAAUGAGGCAAGCAAGUUCCGAAACUGAGAAACUAAUCAAGGCGAAGACCACCAGAAGUGCUAGCAAGAAGGUUAUGAAAUCACCGACGAUAUCUCCGAUGCUUUGCAAAGUUGACGAUACGCCGCAGUGCUCCGAAAUGACGACCGCCGAAGUACACGAGAUGGGAUCGCUGGUCAUCCGCACUUUCAAGUAUGAACAUUUGUCAAUGUCUCUAUCCUCCGAGAGUAAAACCAAGCCGCUCAAGUAUUUCGAUGCUCCAUCUACCCCUCGCGGAUUCAGCCCAUUCCGGGUGAAGAAAAUUAUCGCAAUUGGCAGUACGAUCGUGAGCGUUAGCGAAGGACAGGGCAAUGCGUCCGAGAACUUCUUGGUGGACUCUGACUCGCUACAGUUAUCUACCUUGGGUAUUCAUCUUCCUUGUGCCAUCGCUGGUUGGUGUUUAAUGCGGCCCAUCACGCACUUUCAGUUUUCAUACCAGAAGUUCACCGUAUUGAAACUGAACUUGGCAGUCGAUUCGGAAAUCCAUAAUGACAGUCUUCUAAUGCCUGCGCCGGGUAUAUUACGAAAACUGAAGACGCUGGAGUGCCUAUCCGAUGUGCUCGACGUACAGGAAAUCAUCGACAGCCCGAAACGUACCCGGAAGAAAUUAACCGAAAUUUUUAAAAUGUUGGUCUGCCCUAUAACCCUGUCUAAGAAACGUCCGUCGCGAGUAUGUCCCAGUUCUAGCAUAUCGAUGACAGAGUAUCUUGGCGAGGAGAAUACGGUAGCUGACAAAAGUUCGACAAAGAAAGGCAGGGAAAGGAAACUUUUGUGGAAGGAUAAGCUAGGCGUUGCCGAUCAAUUAUUCCAAGAUGUUUACAAAGCAGGUGGGGAUUUGUGGCGUGUACUCAUUGUGUCGCUUAUGGUUCUAGACAUUUGUAAGAUGGUAAAACUGGAACCAAGUGGCUAGUGUUACGGGGGGGAGUAUGUUGCCGCUGGCCACACUGCUACACGCCGUCAGAUUUCUUGUGCUGUGUCAGUUAAUCUGUAAAAACGAUAUAACCGCGGGACUACAGAUUUUGACAUACAUAUGAAGAGGCAGAAGAAGAGAAAACUAACGCGACCAUGAGAUAGCAAAUCAUGGACAGAAAGUGCUCGUAUUAUAACUAAUUUGUUAAAGCCUAAUAAUUUGAUAAAAUAUUCCUAAUCAGUUGAAAUAACCCAUUGGCAUGCAGUGAGUAACAAAUCUGCAGAAUAUCUAUAGUUUCAAUGCUAACUCAUGAAUUGUUUACAGUUAUCUAAUUGAAUAAAAGAUCGUGUACAGAACAUGAUCUGUGAAGUACUGAACAGAAAGUUAGAAUCCUACAAAAGUGAGGUUAAAACAUUCAUAUCUUAAAUACUAGCGAAAUCAUCAUUUAAUCAUUAUUUACAGUUAAAUUAGAUUAGCCUAAUCAUUUGUUGCGUCGGGAACACGAGAAUGAAAUUUUCCUAAGCAAAACACCGAACGUGUAAGUUAUUAUUAAGUGUAUAUUAAAAUAUCCUAAUUGAUGAAUAUAUUUACAUGUUUGCAGUUUAAAGCUGCAUAACACCAAUACAACAUUUGUGUGUAUGAUAUGUGCUGCUGACAACCCGGUGCCGACAGGCGUUCUCAACUUGUUCUCCGCCAACAGCUAUGUUUUACCAUUUGGUUUUUAACAAUGGUUUAAACAUUUGGAAUAUUAUUAAUUAUAUUUAUUAUACAUAAUAUACAGAAUAACCAAUAAUAUAGCGGUUGAAAAAUCAAGAAACACGAAUAAUUGAUUUUUACAGGGUUCUUUGAAGUGAAGAGCAUUCUUAAGGUCACGGUAUUAGGGCAUGGCACGGUAGUCUAUCGGCCAACUGGCGAGUGCAUAACAACUGCAGCGGUGCACUCCGUUGAUCUUCGCGAUUGCGGAUUUGCCAAGGGAUUUCCUGGAUGGGGAAACAAUCGGUCGUACAGAUUGCCGCUAGCUUGGUCACCCAGUUCCCGUUAUCGGGAGGGAUGCAGUAUGGGUGAGCCCAUAUAGCCGAGGCGGUAAACGCACGGGUAUUCAGCAUGACCAUGCUGAGGGUGACGGGUUCGAUUCCCGGUCGGUCCAGGAUCUUUUCGUAAAGGAAAUUUCCUUGACUUCCUUGGGCAUAGAGCGAGGCAUAGAGUAUCUUCGUGCCUGCCACACGAUAUUCUUAUCUUAUCCGCCGUGCAAAUCAGGCCUUUUUUGUACCGAGUUGCACUCUCUGGCGAUGUGGCCUUCCACUUCGCACUUUCUGUAGAGCUCACUCUUGUUGGGGUCUUUACACGCCCACGAGGCAUUUGUACCACGGCAAUAGCAAACUCUUAUCUUGCUGACUGCACUCACUUUGUUCACCUCCCCUACUGGGAGGUUGAUCGUGGCGAUCUGCGUGCCUCCCAAGCAGCACACUUUAUCGCAUUUAUGUGACUGUCACUGCUAUGAAACAUAUCGUAAAUUACAUUGAAGGCCUCUGUAACGUAAAUUUCUACACCUCUGUAACCCAAACAGCGCAGGAGGUGGAGCCUAAAUGUAACUUCUUUAUUGUUACAGAAGAUGUAUUUUUGUAAUCGAUAUGAAACUUGAUUUGUCGCAUUUAAGUCAAACGGUCACACAGAUAAAAUUUUUGAAAGGUGCUCUUCAGCAACAUAGAACGGGUAAAGUUUAUGUUUCAAUCUAACCAAUUUCUGCAACAUAUGUGAUAUAUUUCCACAGACAGUUUGUUACAGAAAUAAAUUUAGAAUGCCGCACACGAACUUUUCCACAUGGACUCAUUAAAAAUAUUAUAUCACUUAUUUCUUUGGCAAAAUUAUGUCGAUUUAUCGUUUUAAGAGCAAAUUUAACAUGCGGCUCCAAAUUUAUGGUGAAAUACGGUGUUGUACUUAUAAAUAAUUCACGCGCUUCAAGAAUUAUGAGCAUUUUAGGAAAAAUUGCAAAUAAUGAACCAAUGAAAAAAAACAUGUGCAUCCAUUUACAAUUACAUGUUUUUUAAAAAUGUGCUCCAAAUAAAGUUCAAACCAAUUUUUAUCUUAUUAUAUUGAAACUUAAUUGCUUGGCGGUUAUUUUGGCAUAAUUUUACUGUGUGUAAAGUUCAGUGAUAAUUCAAUUUUCGCCAUUUAUCGCCAUUUUUUCGGGCUUACACUGCCGUCUGAAAAAAUGUAUAUUAGAAGGAAACAAACAUGUUUAAAAAAUAAAAAAUACAAGAAUCACCCUCUCUUUUCCUUGGCGUCAUGUCCUGACUGGGACAAAGCCUGCUUCUCAGCUUAGUGUUCUAUGAGCACUUCCACAGUUAUUGCCCGUAGUGUGGCCAGCAAAAAAUACACCCGUAGAAUGCCGGCACGAAACUACAAAAUUAAAAUGAUGCGGUCCACUAAUUUUCCAUAGAUUUUAUUAUUAUUAUUAUUAGCUUUAUUAGGGAGAUUUUCAGCCCGAGGCUGGUUCAUCUCCGCCAUAGAUUUUAGAAAUUUUGAUCUUGUUCAACUCAGACAAACAUUAUUUGUCGACAAACCGGUCGGUUGGACCGGUCCGAUCACCGUAGGUACCGGAUACCGUUAUAACAACUUCACUUUGAAUAUCUUUUGUUUGGGCCUAAUAGCCAAGGCGAUGAUCGACCAUUUCGGCAGGGGGAGCUAUUUUGGGCACAUUCCGCUAUAACUCAAUCAAUUUCACACUAAUUAACUUGAAUUUGUGUACAUAGCUAGAUACUGUACGUAUCUCACCGUGUCCAAAAAACCACGUUAAUUGGGUAAAAAUCGAAUAAACUAUAUUAGGAAGUGUCCAAAAUGGGUCUCCAUGCCCAAAUGGGCGCGACCAGUAUAUGGUAUUAGAAUAACCCGUAUAAAAGCUGAACAACGGAUAGUGAAAAGAGUGACAUAGGUAUGUCAGUUUGUCAGCGAAAAAAAAAACUAUUCAGUGUAUACUAGAUCAUACAUACUCAAGAAAAAAUUCGUUUAACUCAAGAUUUUACGUAAAAAAAACAAACUCAUUUAACAUAUGCAUACAAAAACUUUUGAUCGGCAGUUCAGUCUAUUUUUUACAUCAUCAUAACGCCGGCGUAUAGUACCGUACAGUUGUGUGAGAUAUAAGAUGUACUGAAUAAAGCUGUGAUAAAGAGAAUGAUCACAGCAGGCGAUAUAGCGCAUUUGAAUGUGAUGCGAACUGUCAAGCAGACAAUGUUAGCAUCCCCGCUUGCGCAGCAACAACUUCAGGCGUCACCCAACCGCGUUCACUCUUGCCACUUGCGAACCAACGUCAGCCUGGGUAAGUUGUGUAUGCUGCACGUGAGGGGUGAUUCCUUCCCAGAGAAAUCCCAAACUCCACAUUGGCGAAUUCCUGCCAGUUUUUCGUUCAAUUACGAAAAAAAAUCGAGCCAAUUUAUUGUUUUUCUGGGAGGAAUCACUCUUCAAUUUGCAUGCGAAAGUGAGCAAAUUACGACAACACAAAAAAGUGAAAAAUGUGGUGUGAUAUUCAUCGUGGGCUCCGGAUGGUGUAUGCUUCCGGAUGAUUUUUGUGCUUGGACAAUUAUCGAGGAAGAAAUAAAACACGAGGAAAAUAAACCAGCGGCAGUAACUGGUAAGGAAAAGCUAUAGUGAUUCUGUUAUUUUGUGCUUACAGCGUGUUGUUUGCCGUGGGGGAAAACCUCCGGCAAUGUCCGCUGCCGAAAAGCAAGGUUAGAAAGAUCCUGUUGUUUUGCAUCGUGCAAAUGUCGGAUCGAAUGCUUACAGCGUGUUGUUUGCCGUGGGGGAAACCUCCGGCAAUGUCCGCUGCCGAAAAGCAAGGUUAGAAAGAUCCUGUUGUUUUGCAUCGUGCAAAUGUCGGAUCGAAUGCUUACAGCGUGUUGUUUGCCGUGGGGGAAAACCUCCGGCAAUGUCCGCUGCCGAAAAGCAAGGUUAGAAAGAUCCUGUUGUUUUGCAUCGUGCAAAUGUCGGAUCGAAUGCUUACAGCGUGUUGUUUGCCGUGGGGGAAACCUCCGGCAAUGUCCGCUGCCGAAAAGCAAGGUUAGAAAGAUCCUGUUGUUUUGCAUCGGGCAAAUGUCGGAUCGGAAGCUUACAGCAUGUUGUUUGUCGUGGAGGAAGAAUCCCGACAAUGUCCGCUGACGAAAAGCUAGGUUAGAAAGAUCCCGUUGUUUUGCUUCGCGCAAAUGUCGGAUCGGAAGCUUACAGCAUGUUGCUUGCCGUGGAGGGACAGUCCCGGCAAUGUUCGCUGACGAAAAGCUUGGUUAGCAAGAUCGAGUUGUUUUGCAUCGUACAAAUGUCGGAUCUGAAGCUAACAUCGUGUUGUUUGUCGUGGUCGAUAAAUCUUAGCAAUGUACGCAAAAAAAAAUAUAUUAGAAAAAUCCCGUAGUUUUGAUUCGUGCCAAUGUGGGAUCGAAUGGUUAUCAAAAGGUGCCGUCAAUGUCGGCUAGCCAAAAGAAGGAUUAUGUAGAUGCAGUUUGUUUUCUGUGGCUAGUGUUUCAAUGAAUGACAAUGCUUCAUUCUCUUUAUCUAUAGAUAGAUCUCUAGAUUAUAUAUAAUGUAUUUUAUCAGAUAUCUCGAAUUUAAACGACGGAGCAAUGGGAUAAAUUCGGGUAUAAGAUUGAAUAAAGACUCAAAGAGCAAGAUUUUUUUUUCAGAACCACCCAGUACCAAAGCGGUAAUUUUCUUAAAUAUUACAAGUAUAGAGCCUUGCAUUACAAACAAAACUUCAACAAAAUCACAUAUGAUUUUUAAGCAUUGCCCUCAAAACUAUUUUGAGAGCAAGGACGGCUGUAUCAAGCGACCCCGAACGAGAGGAAAAGAGAGAGAGAGAGAUAAUGAUGACGUCACUGUGCAAGCUACCAUUGCUCGUCAGAAAACAUCAUUCCUACAGUUAAGUACUAAAAUGUUCGAUCUUUUUGGAAAACAAAGUAACAGCAGCAUAGUCAGAAUGGUACCUCACAAUGAAAACUGUAUUUGGCAGCCAUGGCAGCAGCUGCAACGUAUAUGACGAUGUAAUAUAACAGUUAAUUAUGUUGAAUGGUUGUAAGUAAAUACUCCAAAUUGAGAUACGGAAAUUCAAUUUUAGGUUAAAAAUGUGCAAAACUUCUUCAGAGUAGAAGAAGGAUGUGAGAUAUAAGAUGUACUGAAUAAAGCUGUGAUAAAGAGAAUGAUCACAGCAGGCGAUAUAGCGCAUUUGAAUGUGAUGCGAACUGUCAAGCAGACAAUGUUAGCAUCCCCGCUUGCGCAGCAACAACUUCAGGCGUCACCCAACCGCGUUCACUCUUGCCACUUGCGAACCAACGUCAGCCUGGGUAAGUUGUGUAUGCUGCACGUGAGGGGUGAUUCCUUCCCAGAGAAAUCCCAAACUCCACAAGUUGCAUUGUGACUGUUUCGAGACCAAUAUGUUACUUCUAACAUGUGAACUUGUCACUUGUAUCGAAUCAUGUUAUGUUUCAUUGAAACAUAAAAAAAAGUUAAGUCACAAGUUCAUAACCCACAAUGUUACACUAUGUCCACAAUUCAACUAAUGUUGUCACUAAACAACUGAUUUGGCUCCUGAAUUUUGUCACACCGUAACAACACAUUUUGACAGCUGCCAACAUUUUGAUUUGUUUUUAUCAUAAAGCAGACACGAGUGCGUCUUGUUGGGCUGCGCAAAGUUCGUCAAUUUUAAUUCUGUCUCCGAGGACAUUCUUAAUCAUUGUUGCGCUCUUCGGUGAUUAUUAUAAUAUUCGCGAUGUCCUUUUGUAUCGUACAAACGCGUAAAACUAAAAAGUCAUUGCCGUCUAUGACCGUGGUUCCGGCUAACUGGGUAGAAGAUAAAUUUGUCUUUUGGCCUCCAAGCAAUCUGGUCAGUCUUUCCAAAAAUGAAAACUCAAUGCCAGAAAAAUUGACUUGGAAAAAGCAGAAAUGCAAGCUAGCAGGACGAGCACAAACAUUCCAGCUUGCGGAAGAAAUGAUGGCUCUGUUGGAGAAGGUAACGGACUCCGAAGACGCCGUUGAGAUGGGCCAUGGUACAAGAACGACUCCAGCGAGAAAACAACCCAAAUUCAAAUCGAAAAGCUAUAAACUUGCACCACCAGCUGCCGCAGUUGCUGACGAUGGAGCACCAUCUUCCAAAAUCGCAAAGGUAACUCCCUCGGAAGAUAUCUCUCAUCAAUCAACGCCAAACACAGGUCCCGAAAUGCUGGUGGUAAACGUGAAUUCCGCAAC